Long non-coding RNA from Anolis carolinensis (green anole), 1867 nucleotides. NCBI's taxonomy places the organism in Eukaryota, Metazoa, Chordata, Lepidosauria, Squamata, Anolidae. The record is from Ensembl.
UGUCCAAUUCUGGGCACCGUAGUUGAAGGGAGAUGUUGACAAGCUGGAAAGCGUCCAGAGGAGGGCAACUAAAAUGAUUAAGGGUCUGGAGAACAAGCCCUAUGAGGAGCGGCUUAAAGAGCUGGGCAUGUUUAGCCUGCAAAAGAGAAGGCUGAGAGGAGACAUGAUAGCCAUCUACAAAUAUGUGAGGGGAAGUCAUAGGGAGGAGGGAGCAAGCUUGUUUUCUGCUGCCCUGCAGACUAGGACAUGGAACAAUGGCUUCAAACUACAGGAAAGGAGAUUCCACCUGAACAUCAGGAAGAACUUCCUCACUGUGAGAGCUGUUCGACAGUGGAACUCUCUGCCUCGGACUGUGGUGGAGGCUCCUUCUUUGGAGGCUUUUAAGAAGAGACCACAUGGGCCAUCUAGUCCAACCCCCUGCUAAGAAGCAUAAAUCGCAUUCAAAGCACCCCCGACAGAUGGCCAUCCAGCCUCUGCUUAAAAGCCUCCAAGGAAGGAGCCUCCGCCACGGCCCCGGGGAGAGAGUUCCACUGUCGAACAGCUCUCACAGUGAGGAAGUUCUUCCUGAUGUUCAGGUGGAAUCUCCUUUCCUGUAGUUUGAAGCCAUUGUUCCGUGUCCUAGUCUGCAGGGCAGCAGAAAACAAGCUUGCUCCCUCUUCCCUAUGACUUCCCUUCACGUAUUUGUACAUGGCUAUCAUGUCUCCUCUCAGCCUUCUCUUCUGCAGGCUAAACAUGCCCAGCUCUUUAAGCCGCUCCUCAUAGGGCUUGUUCUCCAGACCCUUAAUCAUUUUAGUCGCCCUCCUCUGGACGCUUUCCAGCUUGUCAACAUCUCCCUUCAACUGCGGUGCCCAAAAUUGGACACAGUUUUCCAGGUGUGGUCUGACCAAGGCAGAAUAGAGGGGGAGCAUAACUUCCCUGGAUCUAGACGCGAUUCCCCUAUUGAUGCAGGCCAGAAUCCCAUUGGCUUUUUUAGCAGCCGCAUCACAUUGUUGGCUCAUGUUUAACUUGUUGUCCACGAGGACUCCAAAGACACUUAUUGAACCAACUGACCUGAAAGAAAAGGCAGCAAAAAACAAUUUGUCUCCUGGCUUGCAGGUGUUGUCAUGUCAUUUGCUCUCCACAUUCUUUUGUUACUCUUCUCUGCUCUGUUGGAGUGAUGAGAUGCAAGUAUGUUCACAUAUGACCUGGGAUUGAGAUUACAGCUUGUUCACAGCUUGCAUGCUCCUGGAUCUAGCACUGCUCCUUAAAGGUCAUAUGGUUGAGAUGUCCACAGUGCCUUUGCCCAGCUUUGGUAGGUGUGCCAACUGAGCCUUUCUUAGGGAGGUCACAUUUGGCCACAACACUUCAUGUAUUGAUCACCUCAAAUUAGAAUACUGUAAUAUACAUUACAUGGGGCUACCACUGAAAAUUGUUUGGAAGCUACAACUAAAGCAACAUGUGGUGGGAAGAUUGUUAUAAAAAACAUGAGUCUUAUAUUAACUGUCUGAACCCAAUUCAUAGUGCCUGGUAUUAACCUGCAAAGUCCUAAAUCCUCUAUACAUAUCCCACCAGGUCAUGAAGUUAGGCUGGUGAGUAUCUGUGGCAGAAUUUUCUCCAUAGCAGUACUCCAAGGGAUCCGAGGCUGGCUCAAUUUUUGUAAGUUUCCAGUAGACAGUAGUCUUUGGUCCUUAAAAUUAGGGUUUUUGUUUUGGAUAAGUGUGGGCUCCUCUACACUUAACUAAAACCUGGUAGAAAGCAUGUUAGAAAAACCCACUUCCUCCUGAGUUUCAGUCCCCAUCUCCUUCCACAACCUCAGGGGGUGACACAAUGACAUCUCGGAUCAACCAAAGGUUGAUCUCAGGUAAACCUGUUACUUAUCAUGAGCUUU